GCCAGCAGGAUAGCUCACUUGGUACAGCAUGAAACUCUUAAUGCCAGGGUCGUGGGUUCGAGCCCCAUGUUGGAUCA
Podarcis lilfordi (Lilford's wall lizard) is the source of this 77-nucleotide non-coding RNA. The record is from the annotation of a GenBank genome assembly. NCBI's taxonomy places the organism in Eukaryota, Metazoa, Chordata, Lepidosauria, Squamata, Lacertidae.